RNAcentral lists this ribosomal RNA (493 nucleotides) under uncultured bacterium. RNAcentral describes it as "partial 16S ribosomal RNA". It matches the Rfam family "Bacterial small subunit ribosomal RNA", at positions 29 to 508 of the family's 1533-position model. The record is from RNAcentral.
AGUGAACGCUGGCGGUAGGCCUAACACAUGCAAGUCGAACGGCAGCACAGUAAGAGCUUGCUCUUACGGGUGGCGAGUGGCGGACGGGUGAGGAAUACAUCGGAAUCUACUUUUUCGUGGGGGAUAACGUAGGGAAACUUACGCUAAUACCGCAUACGACCUACGGGUGAAAGCAGGGGAUCUUCGGACCUUGCGCGAUUGAAUGAGCCGAUGUCGGAUUAGCUAGUUGGCGGGGUAAAGGCCCACCAAGGCGACGAUCCGUAGCUGGUCUGAGAGGAUGAUCAGCCACACUGGAACUGAGACACGGUCCCGACUCCUACGGGAGGCAGCAGUGGGGAAUAUUGGACAAUGGGCGCAAGCCUGAUCCAGCCAUACCGCGUGGGUGAAGAAGGCCUUCGGGUUGUAAAGCCCUUUUGUUGGGAAAGAAAAGCAGCAGGUUAAUACCCCGCUGUUCUGACGGUACCCAAAGAAUAAGCACCGGCUAACUUCGUGC